AUUGCGAACCGAUAUCCUCGGCCGAGUAGCUCCGGCCGACGAUGAGAACGUCCUU
This 55-nucleotide small RNA is filed under the name Sinorhizobium meliloti 2011. RNAcentral's name for it is "putative ncRNA". Lineage: Bacteria; Pseudomonadati; Pseudomonadota; Alphaproteobacteria; Hyphomicrobiales; Rhizobiaceae. The record is from RNAcentral.